UACAUUAGUGCUUGCGCACAACAAUAUAUUUCAUUACAUUCGAGUAUGUGUAAAUUCCUCUGCCGGCCGAAGCUAGCAAAGGCCAAAGGUUCACAGGGUAUUGGAUGAAAGUCACCGCCGUGCACUUGCCAGAGCUGGCCAGCACUGAAGGUAACGAUUCGCAAUCAAUAAUGAUCCUUCCGCAGGUUCACCUACGGAAA
RNAcentral lists this unclassified non-coding RNA (200 nucleotides) under uncultured fungus. RNAcentral describes it as "sequence contains ITS1". Lineage: Eukaryota; Fungi. The record is from RNAcentral.